UUUUGCCAUUUGGUAUCUGAUGCUCUGAUGUUUGUGAUCAAUGACAGAGCAUCUCGUUUUGAUGGCAGAUAUAAAUUUUGUAACAGUUCUUGCGACACUGGCUGCUCUUAUUCAGUGAGCUUCUUGUUACUUUUUCCCUGUUUACAUUU
Molecule: small nucleolar RNA, 149 nt
Organism: Dioscorea cayenensis subsp. rotundata (Guinea yam)
Lineage: Eukaryota; Viridiplantae; Streptophyta; Magnoliopsida; Dioscoreales; Dioscoreaceae
Product: small nucleolar RNA F1/F2/snoR5a
Exons: 1
Source: RefSeq, a predicted model, not a curated record